CGCAUCUGUGCAUGCAGCAUAUCAAUAAGCGGAGGAAAAGAAACUAACAAGGAUUCCCCUAGUAACGGCGAGUGAAGCGGGAAGAGCUCAAAUUUGAAAUCUUAAAGGGUUUCCCUUUACGAAUUGUAGCUUAAAGAAGUGUUUUCUGUUGAGGUUUUGGUAAAAGUUCUUUGGAAUAGGACAUCAUAGAGGGUGAGAAUCCCGUAUUUGACCUUUACUUUCAACUUUGUGAUACACUUUCAAAGAGUCGGAUUGUUUGGGAAUGCAGUCCAAAAUGGGUGGUAAAUUUCAUCUAAAGCUAAAUAUUGGCGAGAGACCGAUAGCGAACAAGUACCGUGAGGGAAAGAUGAAAAGAACUUUGAAAAGAGAGAUAAACAGUACGUGAAAUUGUCAAAAGGGAAGCGUUUGACACCAGUGUUGUUUUUCUGAAAAUCAAUUAAAGAACUGUUUAUGCUAAGUUGUUUAGACUUUAUCAGCUAACUGUUUAGUUUUGAGCUUUUCUUUAAUGCACUUUUCAGUUAACAAGUCAACAUCAAUUUCUUUUGCUGUAAAAAAGCUUGAGGAAGGUGGCUUGAGAUUCGUCUUAAGUGUUUAUAGCCUCUUGCCUAUGCAGUCGGAGAGAUUGAGGUCUGCAGCGUAGAUCCUUCGGGGCUAAAUGCAUUUGUGCUAAGUUAUAACAUUUUAUAGACAACUUGUUGACUACGAUUUGUCUUGUAGCUUACUCGCUUAUGUUAUUUUACCUACGCUUAGGAUGUUGACAGCAGUAUAGACUGU
Molecule: ribosomal RNA, 774 nt
Filed under: uncultured Neocallimastigales
Lineage: Eukaryota; Fungi; Neocallimastigomycota; Neocallimastigomycetes; Neocallimastigales
Description: partial large subunit ribosomal RNA
Rfam family: Eukaryotic large subunit ribosomal RNA
Source: RNAcentral